CUAAAACGGAAAGGGUUGUUGUGAUGUCUUAAGUUCCAUCUUUCUGUGCUGAAAUUGCAUAAUUCUGGCCAAACGAUAUUGUUAAAAUUCCCAAUACCAAAGUUAAGUGGAGUGCACAACUUCCUUUAGCAAUUUUGAAAAAAAAAGAAUUUGGAUCUCGAUAACCUGAAAACACCACUGAUCUUUAGGAAAGGUUCUUACAUCGACAUAACCAAAGAUCCAAAAGCAUCCUCAAUUAAACAUUCCCCUCUGGAUAAUCCUUGCGCCAAGGAAAGUAUUUCCUCCGAAAAAGUUUUUCAACAGCUUGUGAAAACCCUUACUUUUGGCAAAUGGAAGUCCUUAAAGGUUCAUUUUGUUUUAUUUAGUUAUUGUUACCGCCUUUAGCGGGCAAGAGGAAAACUUAUAUCCCGACAAGAAUUUUCAGUGGUUCUUAAAGCUCUGGACAAUCCGAGAACUUGAAGAAAACACUCAGAAGCUCCACCCAAACCAGAUCUAAAUGCUCUCAAAUCCACACCAACAUUUUUUAUUUUUAACUUGUUUUCUUCUUUCCAUAAGUUAGAACAACAUUGCUUUAAUGGCGCAGUCAAUCAGCAAUCCGAGUCUACGAUGGAUUCCAUCUUUCUGACCAAAUUCCUGAGCCAAAUUUCUGAGCCUCCGGAACCUCACCAAAGAGCCAUUGGAGUGAGCAAUUUCAUUUAGCGAUUACUGCGAAAACGAACUCGGAUAUCGAUAAACUGAAGACAUUUUCAAAUUCUAGAGAAAGGUUAUUACAGCGAAAAUACCCGAGAUCCAUAGGCGUGCUCGCAGUUAAACCUUCACCAAUUGAUAAAAUUUUCGCUACCGAAGUUUAUGUAUAGGAUUGCCAAGUCAUACUUCAAGAAACUAAACGAUAUUGGCCAAACGGUGAUAAGGCGUUCUCGAACUGGAUUAUUUGAAGUGCAUAUAUACAACUUCUUUAGACCACCAAAGCAUUGAACCAUUUGAAUAAAACGCCGCCAACCGCGCUGUUUGACUAAAUUCCGCGGCGCAAGAAUUUAUAUACUACCAGUUUAAAGUAGUUGUCGCCGUUGAUCAAUAUUUUCCUUACUUUUGCUUUAUCUACAAUAAAUUACACAGAAUGGCAGCUUCAGAUUCAAAUCAAAUUGGAAGUUCUCGGAAAAACAAUUUUCUUGGAAUUUGUUGCACAGUCCUUGCUUCAACUGUAGUUGCUUUCGCUUAUGUUUCCAUUCAAUAUUCUGAAAUGGGGGGCCAUUUUUCAACUUUGGUUAUGGGCGUUUUCGGAUUAGUUACAGGUAUCGCUUGGUUUUUAUUUUUCAAUCAACGAAAGUUAAAUUGGCAUUUGGUCGGAAAAAUUGUUUUAAAUGGAGCUAUUUUAUCUAGUUUAUCAAAUUAUUUACUUGUCCUUUCUUAUGAUUAUUUAACGGCUGGCGAUUCAACAUCUAUUCAUUAUUAUUCCAGUUUCGCUUUCGGUUUAGUGCUUGAAUUUUUUCUCCUCAGACUAAAACCUCAUUGGCUGACAAUUUGCUGCUCGCUGAUUGGCUUAACUGGACUCGUAUUUAUUAGCCAAUCAGAAACGAGAAUAGACACUCAGUUCAACUUCCACGGGUUAUUCGGGUUUAGUUUAAGUCUUAUAUCUGGGUUAAUAAAUGCCCUGUUUUAUAUUAUCAUGCGACAAUGGUCAUCUGUUAACACUGGUUUGUUAGUUUUCGCUUCACGAUUAGGUUGUUGUCUAAUGCCAUUGCCAUUUGUCAUCAAAACGAAUUUUGCAGUUCCAGUUUGCGACUUUAAAAACAAAACAUUCCUUCUUUUAGGCUGUGCUUGCUUUACAA
Molecule: long non-coding RNA, 1829 nt
Organism: Symsagittifera roscoffensis
Lineage: Eukaryota; Metazoa; Xenacoelomorpha; Acoela; Convolutidae
Exons: 3
Source: RefSeq, a predicted model, not a curated record